This 490-nucleotide ribosomal RNA is filed under the name uncultured bacterium. Its description in RNAcentral is "partial 16S ribosomal RNA". It matches the Rfam family "Bacterial small subunit ribosomal RNA", at positions 28 to 507 of the family's 1533-position model. The record is from RNAcentral.
GUUGAACGCUGGCGGCAUGCCUAACACAUGCAAGUCGAACGGUAACAGGAAGAAGCUUGCUUCUUUGCGUACGAGUGGGGGACGUGUGAGUCAUGUCUGUGAAACUGCCUUAUGGAGGGGGUUACCUACUGGAAACGGUGGCUAAUACCGCAUAACUACUCAAGACCAAGGAGGGGGACCUUCGGGCCGCUUGCCAUCGGCUGUGCCCAGAUUGGAUUAGCUAUUAGGUGGGGUAACGGCUCACCAAGGCGACGAUCCCUAGCUGGUCUGAGAGGGUGACCAGCCACACUGGAACUGAGACACGGUCCAGACUCCUACGGGAGGCAGCAGUGGGGAAUCUUGCACAAUGGGCGAAAGCCUGACGCAGCAAUGCCGCGUGUAUGAAGAAGGUCUUCGGGUUGUAAAGCUCUUUUAGCGGGGAGGAAGAGAGUAAAGAUAAACCAUUCACUUCUUGACGGUACCUACAGAAAAAGCCACGGCUAACUACGUG